This 253-nucleotide ribosomal RNA is filed under the name uncultured bacterium. Its description in RNAcentral is "partial 16S ribosomal RNA". It matches the Rfam family "Bacterial small subunit ribosomal RNA", at positions 524 to 776 of the family's 1533-position model. The record is from RNAcentral.
UACGUAGGGUGCAAGCGUUGUCCGGAAUUAUUGGGCGUAAAGAGCUCGUAGGCGGUUUGUCGCGUCUGCUGUGAAAACUCGGGGCUUAACUCCGGGCCUGCAGUGGGUACGGGCAGACUAGAGUGCGGUAGGGGAGACUGGAAUUCCUGGUGUAGCGGUGAAAUGCGCAGAUAUCAGGAGGAACGCCGGUGGCGAAGGCGGGUCUCUGGGCCGUAACUGACGCUGAGGAGCGAAAGCGUGGGGAGCGAACAGG